This 896-nucleotide ribosomal RNA is filed under the name uncultured organism. Its description in RNAcentral is "bacterial SSU rRNA". It matches the Rfam family "Bacterial small subunit ribosomal RNA", at positions 217 to 1117 of the family's 1533-position model. The record is from RNAcentral.
GCUUCUGGAGGGGGGUGCGUCCUAUCAGGUAGUUGGUGAGGUAACUGCUCACCAAGCCUAUGACGGGUAGCCGGUCUGAGAGGAUGUCCGGCCGCAAUGGGACUGAGACACGGCCCAUACUCCUACGGGAGGCAGCAGUGGGGAAUUUUGCGCAAUGGACGAAAGUCUGACGCAGCAAUCUCGCGUGAAGGAUGAAGCAUUAAGGUGUGUAAACUUCUUUUUUGGUGGAAGACGAAUGACGGUACACCAAGAAUAAGGGACGGCUAACUACGUGCCAGCAGCCGCGGUAAUACGUAGGUCCCAAGUGUUAUCCGGAAUUACUGGGCGUAAAGAGUCUGUAGCCUGAUAUAUAAGUCUGUUUUCAAAUACCGCAGCUCAACUGCGGACAGGGAAUAGAUACUGUAUAUCUUGAGAUUGUUAGGGGUUAGUGGAAUUUCCGGUGGAGCGGUGAAAUGCGUUGAUAUCGGAAGGAACGCCAAAAGCGAAAGCAGCUAACUAUAACAAAUCUGACGGUCAGAGACGAAAGCUUGGGUAGCAAAUGGGAUUAGAUACCCCGGUAGUCCAAGCUGUAAAUUUUGCUUGCUAGGUGUUUUGACCCGCUCUGCGGGUUGGAGUGCCGUAAUCUAACGAGUUAAGCAAGCCGCCUGGGUAGUAUAUUCGCAAGAAUGAAACUCAAAGGGAUAGGCGGGGGAACACACAAGCAGUGGAUUGUCUCGAUUAAUUGGAUAUUAAGCCAAAAAUCUUACCUAGACUUGACAUGUACUGUGUCCAAUGCGAAAGUAUUGUAGUCCGGUUUCGGCCGGACACGGUAUACAGGUGGUGCAUGGUCGUCGUCAGCUCGUGCCGCAAGGUGUCCAGUUAAGUCUGGGAACGAGCGCAACCCUCACUCUAUGUUA